UACGUAGGGCGCAAGCGUUGUCCGGAAUUAUUGGGCGUAAAGAGCUCGUAGGCGGUUUGUCGCGUCUGUCGUGAAAGCUUGGGGCUUAACCCCAAGUCUGCGGUGGAUACGGGCAGACUAGAGACAGGUAGGGGAGAACGGAAUUCCCGGUGUAGCGGUGAAAUGCGCAGAUAUCGGGAGGAACACCGGUGGCGAAGGCGGUUCUCUGGGCCUGUACUGACGCUGAGGAGCGAAAGCGUGGGGAGCGAACAGG
Molecule: ribosomal RNA, 253 nt
Filed under: uncultured bacterium
Lineage: Bacteria
Description: partial 16S ribosomal RNA
Rfam family: Bacterial small subunit ribosomal RNA
Source: RNAcentral